Molecule: long non-coding RNA, 377 nt
Organism: Solanum pennellii
Lineage: Eukaryota; Viridiplantae; Streptophyta; Magnoliopsida; Solanales; Solanaceae
Exons: 3
Source: RefSeq, a predicted model, not a curated record
CUAGUCUCUUCCUUCUUCUGUUUGCCGGCGAGAGGUCUGUUUGUGGCUGAGUAAAGGGAGUCUCAUCUUGUUCAGAUUCAUCGCAUUCCAUGGCUAAACGACUGCACAGUUUUGCUCUAAAUAAGAGCAUGAAUUGGAACUCUGUAGAACAUCUCUUUUGGCAAUCCCACAAAGUCUAAGGAGCUAUUUGAAAGAUUUGAUGUAUUCAAAAUUUAAUUCUUUUUGUGUAAGGGAGAUAACAGUGUUUUUGGAAUGUAAGUGAUACCGCUAUGUAGCUAGUAAUUUUUGUGCACCUCCCUGUUCAUGAAACUUUACCUUAUCAAAAGGAAUUUGUUAUGUCUGAUUUAAUUGAAAAGUUGGGUGAUUUUGGUUGUCAU